Molecule: long non-coding RNA, 2531 nt
Filed under: Homo sapiens (human)
Lineage: Eukaryota; Metazoa; Chordata; Mammalia; Primates; Hominidae
Description: non-protein coding lnc-ZFC3H1-16:2
Source: RNAcentral
AGGCACUGCUGGCAUCCUGGCCGGCUGCGUUUGCACUGCUUCUCCAAAACCACAUUAUAGGUACUAAACAACAUUGUUUAGUACCUAUAAUGUGCUAGACUCCUGGCUGCUAGCGAGGUAAAGUUAAACAUAGUUUCUAUUACUGAGCUCUCGUAAUUAUUGUCAUAACACCACUUAGAUUGUGGAAAUAUCUGUCCUCACACCCCUUAUAUUAAAGGUGUGUGCAUUUAGAAAGCAAAACGUCUUGUUAGCAUUAAAAAUCUGAAUCGUGGCUGAUUUCUUUUCUUUUCUUUUUUUUUUUUUCGAGACAGUGUCUCUCUCUGCCGCCCAGGCUGGAGUGCAGUGGCACGAUCUCUGCUCACUGCAACCACCGCCUCCCAGGUUCUAAGCGAUUCUCCUGCUCCAGCCUCCGGAGUAGCUGGGAUUACAGGCGCCACAACCACGCCCGGCUAAUUUUUAUAUUUUUAGUAGAGACGGGGUUUUGCCAUGUUGGCCCGGCUGGUCUCGAACUCUUGACCUCAGGGGAUCCACCCACCUCGGCCUCCCAAAGUGCUGGGUUUAAUGGCGUGAGCUACAGCGCCCGGCCUGAUUUCAUGUUUUAUGUGAAAUUAACUUGUUUGCCUGGGUUAACAGUAAUUAACUGAUAAUUACAUAAUAUUUAUCAAUUUUUUCAGUUAAUUGCUGACAGUGUAAGAAGAGGAGCCAAAUCCAUUUCAGACACAGUAUGCAAUUGUGUUUUAAGCCCCAAGAGUAGUUACUUUAAAAAAGCUCACAUUAUUUUAAAUUUCAAAAUACAUGCCAAGACAGCUUGUCAUUUUCUUUGGUAAGACAUCUAAUUAAGUAGUUAACUAAGAAUCAAAUCUGUGAAGUAGGACUAAAUAGUAGUGGGCUUCCUGUACUAGAUAAUAUACAUAUAUGGUCUUUAUGCUGAAAUGUAUUAUGUGCCUACUUUAUUUUUGUCUUAGUCUGUUCUGCAUAGGUAAAUGUUUGGAUUAUUUCACCAAGCUGACUGGCCAGUAUCAAUGUUACCAGACUACUGGGUAAAAUUAUUAAUAAUGAAAGCUAAUGUUUUGUGGUUUGCACAGUCGCAUUGUUUUUGUCUCUGCUUAGACAAAAUUAUAAACUGGUCUUUUUUUUUUUUUUCUUUUUUUUGCCUUGCUUCACCACAGUCACAGAGUGACCCUCUCUGAUUAGUUGGUGUUCGAUAGGAAAAUCAUAGCCUAGUUGUGAAUGUCAAGCUAUCUCCCAACACUGUGGUGUAGCUGUGUCAGGUCAGUCCCUGGAUGUCAGGGAUGAUUUUCUCAUGACUAUUAGAUCUGGCUAAAAAAUGCAUAUUAAAUAGUAGUGUCAGUGAACUGACCCUUUAGAUGAAUAUUUUCCCUUCUAUUUUUUUCAGUGACCAAUUAUAGAUGUUUUUCUCCAUAAAAGUUAUUCUAGCUUAAGACCAAAAUAAUUUAGAGGAGUUAAUAUAAUUAAAAUACAGUAGUUCUUAUAUGCAAUAGGCAGUUUCAGUUACCAAGGGUUAAACAUGAUCUUGAGGCAGGAGAAUAGGGUCUCCUAUUGAGGCAGGGAACCUAAGGCCGAUUCAUGCUGACUUCCUAGAGCUAAAUCAAAAGGAAAACCCCAACUUCCCAUACCUAAGUAACAAAAGGACCCAAAGCUACGCCCUUUGCAAACCCCUCUUUUUUUCUGCGUGGCAGAUAGAAAAUUGAAAGUAUCUCUGCUUGGUAGCUUUCUGCAACCAAUCAGACGUUUGCGUAGGAGUGUAACUUUGUAACUUUGCUUCAGCCUCUAAUUGGUUGUUUUUCACAACCAAUCAGACUGAUUGUGGGCUAGUACUUCAUUUACAUUUACAUAAGGUGUACACCAAGUAACCAAUGGGAAACCUCUAGAGGGUAUUUAAACCCUAGAAAAUUCUGUAAGGAGGCCCUUGAGCCCCUAUGCUCAGAUGGUUCCCACCCUGUGGCGCGUACUUUUGUUUUCAGUAAAUCUCUGCUUUUGUUGCUUCAUUCUUUCCUUGCUUUGCUUGUGUGUUUUUCCAGUUCUUUGUUCAAAACACCAAGAACCUGGACACCUUCCACCGGUAACAAUCCGAAAAUAUUAAAAAGAAAAUUCCAGAAAUAUUCAUAAGUUUUAAAUUGCAUGCCAAAGUAGCAUGAUGAAAUCUCAUGCCAUCCAGCUCCAUCCCACCUGGGACGUGAAUCCUCCGUUUAUCUAGCAUAUCCAUCCAUGCAAUAGACAUUACUCUCUUGUUAGUCACUUAGGAGCCAUUGCAGUUAUCAGAUGGACUGUUGCAGUAUCACAGUGCCCUUAUUUUAGUUCUAUUACAAUAUAUUGUUAUAAUUGUUCUAUUUUAUUAUUAGGUAUUCCUCCUAAUCUCUUACGGUGCCUAAUUUAUACAUUAAGCUUUAUCAUAGGUAUAUAGGAAUUGGAAAAAAAUAGUAUAUAUAGGGUUUGGUAUUUUCCAGGGUUUCAAACAUCCACUGAGGGUGUUGGAAUGUAUCUCCAAGGAUAAAGGGAGUGGGAGGGGC